This 741-nucleotide long non-coding RNA is filed under the name Marmota monax (woodchuck). The record is from RNAcentral. Lineage: Eukaryota; Metazoa; Chordata; Mammalia; Rodentia; Sciuridae.
CGACUGGGAACGCUGGGGAGCACUGAGCAGCACUGGGGAGCAUGGGGUUCAACUUCCCUUCCCCAAAGCUGAUGGAAAGCAAAAGGGCAGAUUUAGGAUUUCUUGGAAAGAUUGGGGUGCCUGCAAGAGGAGACCGACAUUUAUAUCCCCACGAUAGGAACCUGCUUCAAGGGAGGGCGCUUUGCCUAGGCCAUGGUCCUGAAUGGGGGAGUGGAGAGAGAGCAUGGGGAGGCCUGCGGGCCUAACCAUGUGCUAAAGGAUGAGGACUGGGCUGCGUCUUGGCAAUGUGCAUGUAUGUGUGUGUGCAUGUGUGUGUGCGUGCACACGUGUGUGCCGGUGUGCACAUGUUUGCACGUGUGCAUAUGUGUGUGUUCUGGUGAAGAGGCAGGUGCACUGAGAGCUAAAUGCCACUCACUGAAGGUCACUUAGAAUCGAUGGCCAAGCUGGCCAGUGCCCAAGGGAGCUUCACCUGAAGAAGCCCCUUGUUGGCAAAAUAUACUGAGCUUCCACACGGCCUGUGUGGACACUGACCAGAAGUGUCCCACGCCAGGUCGGCCAGAAGAGAGAAGAUGCAGCUGGAGCCUCCUCAGUCCAUCAGACAGAUCUACCCUGAGGUAGAGGAAGGAGAAGACAAACCAGCAGGAUGCAGAGAGGGACUGACUCUCAAACGCCACUGUCAUGAGCUCAUUUCAGCAACCAAAGAGCUGAAGACUCACGCACAGCAGCCAAGGCAGGGCUGGG